RNAcentral lists this ribosomal RNA (371 nucleotides) under uncultured bacterium. RNAcentral describes it as "bacterial SSU rRNA". It matches the Rfam family "Bacterial small subunit ribosomal RNA", at positions 527 to 896 of the family's 1533-position model. The record is from RNAcentral.
GUAGGUGGCUAGCGUUGUCCGGAUUUACUGGGCGUAAAGCGCGCGCGGGCGGUCGUUCAAGUCGAGUGUGAAAGCCCCCGGCUCAACUGGGGAGGGUCACUCGAUACUGAUCGACUUGAAGGCAGAAGAGGGAAGCGGAAUUCCCGGUGUAGUGGUGAAAUGCGUAGAUAUCGGGAGGAACACCAGUGGCGAAGGCGGCUUUCUGGUCUGUUCUUGACGCUGAGGCGCGAAAGCUAGGGUAGCAAACGGGAUUAGAUACCCCGGUAGUCCUAGCCGUAAACGAUGGACACUAGGUGUUGGCGGUAUCAACCCCGCCAGUGCCGAAGCUAACGCAUUAAGUGUCCCGCCUGGGGAGUACGGCCGCAAGGCUA